GAAUUCGAUUAGGCCUAACACAAGCAAGUCGAGCGGGGUUUUCGGACCUAGCAGAAAACGGGUGAGUAAUGCGUAGGAAGCUACCCGAUAGAGGGGGAUACCAGUUGGAAACGACUGUUAAUACCGCAUAAUGUCUACGGACCAAAGUGUGGGACCUUCGGGCCACAUGCUAUCGGAUGCGCCUACGUGGGAUUAGCUAGUUGGUGAGGUAAUGGCUCACCAAGGCGACGAUCUCUAGCUGGUUUGAGAGGAUGAUCAGCCACACUGGAUUUGAGGCACGGUCCAGACUCCUACGGGAGGCAGCAGUGGGGAAUAUUGGACAAUGGGCGCAAGCCUGAU
RNAcentral lists this ribosomal RNA (339 nucleotides) under uncultured bacterium. RNAcentral's name for it is "bacterial SSU rRNA". It matches the Rfam family "Bacterial small subunit ribosomal RNA", at positions 46 to 387 of the family's 1533-position model. The record is from RNAcentral.